AGUGAACGCUGGCGGUAGGCCUAACACAUGCAAGUCGAACGGCAGCACAGUAAGAGCUUGCUCUUACGGGUGGCGAGUGGCGGACGGGUGAGGAAUACAUCGGAAUCUACUUUUUCGUGGGGGAUAACGUAGGGAAACUUACGCUAAUACCGCAUACGACCUACGGGUGAAAGCAGGGGAUCUUCGGACCUUGCGCGAUUGAAUGAGCCGAUGUCGGAUUAGCUAGUUGGCGGGGUAAAGGCCCACCAAGGCGACGAUCCGUAGCUGGUCUGAGAGGAUGAUCAGCCACACUGGAACUGAGACACGGUCCAGACUCCUAGGGAGGCAGCAGUGGGGAAUAUUGGACAAUGGGCGCAAGCCUGAUCCAGCGAUACCGCGUGGGUGAAGAAGGCCUUCGGGUUGUAAAGCCCUUUUGUUGGGAAAGAAAAGCAGCAGGUUAAUACCCCGCUGUUCUGACGGUACCCAAAGAAUAAGCACCGGCUAACUUCGUG
Molecule: ribosomal RNA, 491 nt
Filed under: uncultured bacterium
Lineage: Bacteria
Description: partial 16S ribosomal RNA
Rfam family: Bacterial small subunit ribosomal RNA
Source: RNAcentral